CGGGGAAACCCGGAUUAAUACCCGGUAUAGUCUGUUAUACACCUGUAUAAAAGACGAGAGCUACGGCGGCCAAAGAUGGGCAUGCGUGCCAUUAGUUAGUUGGUAGGGUAACGGCCUACCAAGGCAUCGAUGGCUACGGGGUCUAAAAGGAUGAGCCCGCACACUGGUACUGAGACACGGACCAGACUCCUACGGGAGGCAGCAGUGAGGAAUAUUGGUCAAUGGGUGGAAGCCUGAACCAGCCAUGCCGCGUGCAGGAAGACGGCCUUAUGGGUUGUAAACUGCUUUUCUACGGGACGAACGGCUCUGACGUGUCAGAGAUUGACGGUACCGUAGGAAUAAGCAUCGGCUAACUCCGUGCCAGCAGCCGCGGUAAUACGGAGGAUGCGAGCGUUAUCCGGAUUUAUUAGGUUUAAAGGGUGCGUAGGCUGGGCAAUAAGUCAGUGGUGAAAGUCCGCGGCUCAACCGUGGGAUUGCCAUUGAAACUGUUGUUCUUGAGUACAGUCGAGGUAGGCGGAAUGUGUAAUGUAGCGGUGAAAUGCCUAGAUAUUACCCAGAAC
RNAcentral lists this ribosomal RNA (560 nucleotides) under uncultured organism. RNAcentral's name for it is "bacterial SSU rRNA". It matches the Rfam family "Bacterial small subunit ribosomal RNA", at positions 149 to 707 of the family's 1533-position model. The record is from RNAcentral.